AAACUUUCAACAACGGAUCUCUUGGUUCCGGCAUCGAUGAAGAACGCAGCGAAAUGCGAUAAAUAAUGUGAAUUGCAGAAUUCAGUGAAUCAUCGAGUCUUUGAACGCACAUUGCGCCCCCUGGUAUUCCGGGGGGCAUGCCUGUCCGAGCGUCAUUG
This 158-nucleotide ribosomal RNA is filed under the name Aspergillus viridinutans. Its description in RNAcentral is "5.8S ribosomal RNA". It matches the Rfam family "5.8S ribosomal RNA". Rfam says of the family: 5.8S ribosomal RNA (5.8S rRNA) is a component of the large subunit of the eukaryotic ribosome. It is transcribed by RNA polymerase I as part of the 45S precursor that also contains 18S and 28S rRNA. RNAcentral also lists the same sequence under 1 other name. Lineage: Eukaryota; Fungi; Ascomycota; Eurotiomycetes; Eurotiales; Aspergillaceae. The record is from RNAcentral.